Molecule: regulatory RNA element, 98 nt
Organism: Enterococcus faecalis V583
Lineage: Bacteria; Bacillati; Bacillota; Bacilli; Lactobacillales; Enterococcaceae
Rfam family: Purine riboswitch aptamer
About the family: Riboswitches are metabolite binding domains within certain messenger RNAs that serve as precision sensors for their corresponding targets. Allosteric rearrangement of mRNA structure is mediated by ligand binding, and this results in modulation of gene expression. A class of riboswitches that selectively recognises guanine and becomes saturated at concentrations as low as 5 nM.
Source: Rfam
UCCUAGAGAAACAUAGAAGCUUGUAUAAGGUCAAAAUACGGUUGACCGUCUCUACCCAGCACCGUAAAUGCUGGUCUAUAAGUGAAGAAGAGCGGAUA